RNAcentral lists this ribosomal RNA (371 nucleotides) under uncultured organism. RNAcentral's name for it is "bacterial SSU rRNA". It matches the Rfam family "Bacterial small subunit ribosomal RNA", at positions 527 to 896 of the family's 1533-position model. The record is from RNAcentral.
CGGGGGGGCAAGCGUUGUUCGGAAUUACUGGGCGUAAAGGGCCCGUAGGCGGCCAACUAAGUCGGACGUGAAAUCCCCAGGCUCAACCUGGGAACUGCGUCCGAUACUGGAUGGCUUGAAUCCGGGAGAGGGAUGCAGAAUUCCAGGUGUAGCGGUGAAAUGCGUAGAUAUCUGGAGGAAUACCGGUGGCGAAGGCGGCAUCCUGGACCGGCAUUGACGCUGAGGAGCGAAAGCCAGGGGAGCAAACGGGAUUAGAUACCCCGGUAGUCCUGGCCCUAAACGAUGAAUGCUUGGUGUAACGGGUAUCGAUCCCUGUUGUGCCGAAGCUAACGCAUUAAGCAUUCCGCCUGGGGAGUACGGUCGCAAGGCUG